RNAcentral lists this microRNA (18 nucleotides) under Corchorus olitorius. RNAcentral describes it as "bma-miR-1". The record is from RNAcentral. Lineage: Eukaryota; Viridiplantae; Streptophyta; Magnoliopsida; Malvales; Malvaceae.
UUCUUACUUGAGAAUACA